GGGGAUGGGGCUGGGGCAUGAGCAGUGACCCUCAGGUCCUGUGCCCCUUCCCAGU
This 55-nucleotide non-coding RNA is filed under the name Sus scrofa (pig). Lineage: Eukaryota; Metazoa; Chordata; Mammalia; Artiodactyla; Suidae. The record is from RNAcentral.